RNAcentral lists this ribosomal RNA (1189 nucleotides) under Rhynchocypris cf. lagowskii CF-2013. RNAcentral describes it as "partial 16S ribosomal RNA". It matches the Rfam family "Bacterial large subunit ribosomal RNA", at positions 724 to 2556 of the family's 2925-position model. The record is from RNAcentral. Lineage: Eukaryota; Metazoa; Chordata; Actinopteri; Cypriniformes; Leuciscidae.
GGUGAGCUACCCCGAGACAGCCUAUAUUAAUCUAGGGCUAACCCGUCUCUGUGGCAAAAGAGUGGGAAGAGCUCCGGGUAGAAGUGAAAGACCUACCGAACCUGGUGAUAGCUGGUUGACUGAGAAAUGGAUAGAAGUUCAGCCUCAUACACCCCAAACCAAGAAAUGUUAUCGCCAAGAUAUUUAGGGAAACGUACGAGAGUUAGUUGAAAGGGGUACAGCCCUUUUAACAAAGGAUACAACCUUUACAGGAGGAUAAAGAUCAUAAUGUAUAAGAUAUACUGUUCUAGUGGGCCUGAAAGCAGCCACCUAAACAGAAAGCGUUAAAGCUCGGACAGAAAGAAGUUUAUUAUACUGAUAAAAAAUCUUAUUCCCCUAACUAUAUCAGACCAACCCAUGCCCACAUGGAAGAGAUUAUGCUAAAAUGAGUAAUAAGAAGACCCGCUCUUCUCCCAGCACAAGUGUAAACCAGAUCGGACCAACCACUGGAGCUUAACGAACCCAACCCAAGAGGGUAGUGUGACUAAGAGAAAACACGAGAAGACCUCACAUUAAUUGAUCGUUAACCCCACACUGGAGUGCUAUUUUAAGGGAAAGACUAAAAGAAGAGGAAGGAACUCGGCAAACACAAGCCUCGCCUGUUUACCAAAAACAUCGCCUCCUGCAACUAAACUGAGUAUAGGAGGUCCAGCCUGCCCAGUGACUACGGGUUCAACGGCCGCGGUAUCUUGACCGUGCAAAGGUAGCGCAAUCACUUGUCUCUUAAAUAGAGACCUGUAUGAAUGGCUAGACGAGGGCUUAACUGUCUCCCCCUUCCAGUCAGUGAAAUUGAUCUAUCCGUGCAGAAGCGGGUAUAAAUAUACAAGACGAGAAGACCCUUUGGAGCUUAAGGUACAAAUUCAACCACGUUAAACGACUCUGUAAAAGGCAAGAACUUAGUGACAAUGAAAUUUUACCUUCGGUUGGGGCGACCGCGGAGGAAAAACGAGCCUCCGAGUGGACUGGGCCAAACCCCUGAAGCCAAUAGAAACAUCUAUAAGCCGCAGAACAUCUGACCAAAAAUGAUCCGGCUAAAGAGCCGAUCAACGAACCAAGUUACCCAAGGGAUAACAGCGCAAUCCCCUCCCAGAGCCCAUAUCUACGAGGGGGUUUACGACCUCGAUGUUGGAUCAGGACAUCCUAAUGGUGC